UGCAGUCGAGCGGAUGAAGGGAGCUUGCUCCUGGAUUCAGCGGCGGACGGGUGAGUAAUGCCUAGGAAUCUGCCUGGUAGUGGGGGAUAACGUCCGGAAACGGGCGCUAAUACCGCAUACGUCCUGAGGGAGAAAGUGGGGGAUCUUCGGACCUCACGCUAUCAGAUGAGCCUAGGUCGGAUUAGCUAGUUGGUGGGGUAAAGGCCUACCAAGGCGACGAUCCGUAACUGGUCUGAGAGGAUGAUCAGUCACACUGGAACUGAGACACGGUCCAGACUCCUACGGGAGGCAGCAGUGGGGAAUAUUGGACAAUGGGCGAAAGCCUGAUCCAGCCAUGCCGCGUGUGUGAAGAAGGUCUUCGGAUUGUAAAGCACUUUAAGUUGGGAGGAAGGGCAGUAAGUUAAUACCUUGCUGUUUUGACGUUACCAACAGAAUAAGCACCGGCUAACUUCGUGCCAGCAGCCGCGGUAAUACGAAGGGUGCAAGCGUUAAUCGGAAUUACUGGGCGUAAAGCGCGCGUAGGUGGUUCAGCAAGUUGGAUGUGAAAUCCCCGGGCUCAACCUGGGAACUGCAUCCAAAACUACUGAGCUAGAGUACGGUAGAGGGUGGUGGAAAUUUCCCUGUG
Molecule: ribosomal RNA, 625 nt
Filed under: Pseudomonas aeruginosa
Lineage: Bacteria; Pseudomonadati; Pseudomonadota; Gammaproteobacteria; Pseudomonadales; Pseudomonadaceae
Description: bacterial SSU rRNA
Rfam family: Bacterial small subunit ribosomal RNA
Source: RNAcentral